Molecule: long non-coding RNA, 749 nt
Filed under: Cucumis sativus (cucumber)
Lineage: Eukaryota; Viridiplantae; Streptophyta; Magnoliopsida; Cucurbitales; Cucurbitaceae
Description: long non-coding RNA (CSAT_LNC002037)
Source: RNAcentral
UUUAGCACAUCAGAGCUUUAUCCAUCGUGAUCUCAAACCAUCAAACAUUCUUCUCGGAGAUGAUUUACGGGCUAAAGUAGCUGACUUUGGGUUGGUUCGUCUUGCUCCUGAAGGGAAGGCAUCGAUUGAAACAAGACUAGCGGGAACAUUUGGCUAUCUUGCCCCUGAAUAUGCAGGUAUACACUCUUCUCUUGUCCUUUUUGCUAUGAAACUCUAUGUUGCAAGUUAAUGACAUGUUGAGGAAACAACUAAGUUACAUUUUAUAUCAAACAAUUGCUUCAUUCUAUUGUUUAUAUUUUGAACAAGUUUUACCUUUCUGAUGCAUGUUGGAUUGUGAAUGUAGUUAAGUACAAUAAUUAGUUGGCACUAUAUUUGUCCACCUAGCAAUCGCCUUUUAGUAACCAUUUUCUUCUGUUGAUAUAUACUAACAUUCUAUUCUACAUCAAUGGCUGGUGGAGCAGUAACUGGACGAGUUACAACCAAGGUCGAUGUUUAUAGCUUUGGGGUGAUCCUCAUGGAGAUGAUAUCUGGUAGAAAAGCAAUCGACGAGAGCCAGCCAGAAGAAAGUUUGCACCUUGUAUCAUGGUUCCGCAGAAUGCACAUUAACAAGGACACUUUCUCAAAGGCCAUAGACCCUUCAAUCGACAUAGACGAGGAGACCCUUGUCAGCAUCAACACAGUUGCAGACUUGGCUGGUCAUUGCUGUGCAAGAGAGCCAUACCAACGGCCCGACAUGGGUCAUGCAGUCA